UGGGGAAUCUUGCGCAAUGGGCGAAAGCCUGACGCAGCGACGCCGCGUGAGCGAUGAAGGCCUUCGGGUCGUAAAGCUCUGUGGAGGGAGACGAAUAAGGGUUGGCUAACAUCCAGCCCGAUGACGGUAUCCCUUUAGCAAGCACCGGCUAACUCUGUGCCAGCAGCCGCGGUAAGACAGAGGGUGCAAACGUUGUUCGGAAUUACUGGGCGUAAAGCGCGUGUAGGCUGCUCGCUAAGUCGGAUAUGAAAGCCCUGGGCUCAACCUGGGAAGUGCAUACGAAACUGGCGAGCUGGAGUCCUGGAGAGGAAGGCGGAAUUCUCGGUGUAGAGGUGAAAUUCGUAGAUAUCGAGAGGAACACCGGUGGCGAAGGCGGCCUUCUGGACAGCGACUGACGCUAAGACGCGAAAGCGUGGGGAGCAAA
Molecule: ribosomal RNA, 424 nt
Filed under: uncultured bacterium
Lineage: Bacteria
Description: bacterial SSU rRNA
Rfam family: Bacterial small subunit ribosomal RNA
Source: RNAcentral